UAGGGAGCUAUUGGAUGAGUCGUCAGAAU
Molecule: non-coding RNA, 29 nt
Filed under: Rattus norvegicus (Norway rat)
Lineage: Eukaryota; Metazoa; Chordata; Mammalia; Rodentia; Muridae
Source: RNAcentral